Molecule: ribosomal RNA, 363 nt
Filed under: Triticum aestivum (bread wheat)
Lineage: Eukaryota; Viridiplantae; Streptophyta; Magnoliopsida; Poales; Poaceae
Description: partial small subunit ribosomal RNA
Source: RNAcentral
CAAAGACAAGGUUGGCCUAAUUGCGGGGUUUGCCAACUAUGUAAAUCGAAAGGGAAGUCGGAUGCGCAUCUUCUCUUCAAAUGCAGGUACUCCAUGCGCAUUUGGAGAAUGGUCCAAUCUUGGUUCGUCUGAGAUGGCUUGGACCUCAACUGUUGGAGCACUUUCCCCUCGGUCAAAGAUUGGUGGACCUUGGUGCCCCCGAAUAGCUUUAGGCGCAAGGCCAUGUCCUCCCUCUUCAUUCUCAUGGUUUGGAAAUUUUGGAAUGAGCGAAAUUGUUGCACGUUCCGUGGUAUCUCCCCCAUGCCUACUUCGGUCUUCGCCAACAUCAAGCAAGAGGUUUCCUAUUUGGUUUUGGCCAGCUAG